Orbicella faveolata is the source of this 1198-nucleotide long non-coding RNA. Lineage: Eukaryota; Metazoa; Cnidaria; Anthozoa; Scleractinia; Merulinidae. The record is from RefSeq and is a predicted model, not a curated record.
AUAAAUCAAUGGUCUGGGAUGAGAUGGAUUACUUUUGGCCUUAAAUCCCAUGAAAAAGGUUACAUAUACCCACCGCACGUUUUAAAAAGAAAAAAAAAACCAGUUAAAAUUGAUGUAAAACUACAGUUGUAGCUGAAUGUGCGAGAAAAAUUUGAUGAAAAUCUGCCCGGGAUGCGGACCUAUAAGCACUACACGUGACUUGCUGUCAUGGUGACUUCCUAAAAAGGAGACGUGCUUUGGGGUCCGUACGUCACGACACAGUCGGGUUCGUUGUGAGUUUAUAAACGACGAAGAACGUGUAUUUUCGAUUAACAAUAUUGUGUUGUGAUCUCAUCCUAGUAACAGGUCGGCGGCUUUGUCUUCUGGACUAUGGGAAAUCGUGAUUGAGGAGGCGUUAUUUUGUGUUAUCGCCAUGGUUGGUUCGAGAAGAAAGGGGCAAACGUUUGCUGCCUUCGAGUAAACUUCUUAUCUCAAUCUGUGACUUCGUCUGCUGAUCGAUUGAUGCUACGGCAACGAGAAAUCGACAAAACCUGGUAGAGAAUUAGACGGCGGACAUUUUUUUUUUUUUGCAAAUGGAUAAGUUUGAAAGACUUCAGAAAAUCGGCGAAGGAUCGUAUGGCGUGGUGUUCAAAUGCAGAAAUAAAGAAAAUGGAUCUAUCGUUGCGAUUAAGAAGUUCGUGGAAUCCGAGGACGAUCCUUUGAUAAAGAAAAUUGCCUUGAGAGAAGUUCGUAUGCUCAAGGUUUGUGGUUCAGUGUGUUAAUCGAGUCUUCCUAUAUUACAGAUGUACACAUAUUAGUGUCUCAAAUUUCUUUAAUAAUGUAUAGCUUAAAUGGUUUGAUUGUAGAAAUCUCUUGGUACCUGUACAUGUCUGUAGAUAUUUUGCAAUCGCCGGUGUAUCAGGAACAUUUAAUCUGUAGCAAAGCAGGAAUGUUAAUCUAAUCGAAAAUCAUAGAAAAGUGGAGCUUAAAAAUUAAGCUUUAUAAAUAUGUUAACUCACUAUAAAGUACCUAGAUUUCCGAGAGAUCUGAAGAGUCUUCAUUGUUUACUGCUUUCGUUUUCAAGUGACCGUUUCUGUGUAAGUUUUACCUGUAUUAAUUUUGUCUAGAAUUUGUAACGUAGAGGGACAUCUUCACUGGAAUCAUGUAACAUGUGUGUGCUUGCAAGGUUAAACUGCUGCUCAAAGAUAAUUCUGCAAAA